CCUACGGGAGGCAGCAGUGAGGAAUAUUGGUCAAUGGACGCAAGUCUGAACCAGCCAGGCCGCGUGCAGGAAGACGGCGCUAUGAGUUGUAAACGGCUUUUGUACGAGGGUAAACGCAGAUACGCGUAUCUGUCUGAAAGUAUCGUACGAAUAAGGAUCGGCUAACUCCGUGCCAGCAGCCGCGGUAAUACGGAGGAUUCAAGCGUUAUCCGGAUUUAUUGGGUUGAAAGGGUGCGUAGGCGGUCGGAUAAGUUAGAGGUGAAAUCCCGGGGCUCAACUUCGGAAUUGCCUCUGAUACUGUUCGGCUAGAGAGUAGUUGCGGUAGGCGGAAUGUCUGGUGUAGCUGUGAAAUGCUUAGAGAUCAUACAGAACACCGAUUGCGAAGGCAGCUUACCAAGCUACUUCUGACGUUGAGGCACGAAAGCGUGGGGAGCAAACAGGAUUAGAUCCCCCAGUAGUC
This 460-nucleotide ribosomal RNA is filed under the name uncultured bacterium. RNAcentral's name for it is "partial 16S ribosomal RNA". It matches the Rfam family "Bacterial small subunit ribosomal RNA", at positions 338 to 795 of the family's 1533-position model. The record is from RNAcentral.